This 531-nucleotide ribosomal RNA is filed under the name Triticum aestivum (bread wheat). Its description in RNAcentral is "partial small subunit ribosomal RNA". Lineage: Eukaryota; Viridiplantae; Streptophyta; Magnoliopsida; Poales; Poaceae. The record is from RNAcentral.
AUGGACAUGGACAGCGUGGAGUGCCUCUCCCUCCCGGACGCCUCCAUGGACGUAGACGACGUCGACAGCCACCAGCACCAGCAGCACCACCACAGCAUCCCGAUCCAUCCCGUGCACCUCGCCGCUAACGGGGGCGUCGGAGGACGCGCGUUCGCGAAGAUGAAUGCCGGGGGCGCGGCCGCGGCCGGGGGAGUGGGUGCUACCGCGGCCGCCGCCGGCGGGCCACCGGCGACCAGCGUACACGAAUUGCUCGAGUGUCCUGUCUGCACCAACUCCAUGUUCCCGCCCAUCCACCAGGUAGGUGCUCUUCGUGGCACUCCGCGUUCCCUGAUUUGGGGGUGGCUUGUCUACGCUUCUCGAUUUGAGAUGAGUAUGCGUGUGGGUUUGAGUCUAGAACUGGAUCCGGUGGCUGUGAUUAGGGUAUUCAGGUGCACAAAGGUUGGUCUUUAUGCUAAUUUUGAUGGGAUCGAAUUAGACUCGCGUAUUCUAGCGGAAUCGUUUAGCUGGAAUGGGGAUUUUUGCUCCCUGUAG